GUCUACGGAUGUCGGAUAUUUUCCUGCUGCUCAGCAUGCCCGCCAUCGCGGCGCGCGUGGGCAGGGAGGCACCGCAGGUGCGGUUGGAGGUGGUCCAUCUCUCGCCCGUGCAGACCGUCGCGGCGCUUGAGACCGAUGCGAUCGACAUAGCCCUCAGUACGGGCUUAUCAGCGGAAAAAGCCGGCAUCCCGGCCACGGCGAUUAUCACGGACCGGUUUGUGCAGACGGCACAGACUAUGGCGGACGUCAGCGGCAUGC
This 258-nucleotide unclassified non-coding RNA is filed under the name uncultured bacterium. Its description in RNAcentral is "contains 16S-23S intergenic spacer region". The record is from RNAcentral.